AAAACUCUGGAAAGACUAUUAAAAGCACCGACGAAGCAAUCUUAAGUAUAGUAGGAGAAUCUUUCAGGUAAAAAGACAGAGACG
Molecule: non-coding RNA, 84 nt
Filed under: uncultured Clostridium sp.
Lineage: Bacteria; Bacillati; Bacillota; Clostridia; Eubacteriales; Clostridiaceae
Description: Glycine riboswitch
Rfam family: Glycine riboswitch aptamer
About the family: This family represents the bacterial glycine riboswitch. Glycine riboswitches usually consist of two metabolite-binding aptamers domains with similar structures in tandem.
Source: RNAcentral